AGUGAACGCUGGCGGUAGGCCUAACACAUGCAAGUCGAACGGCAGCACAGUAAGAGCUUGCUCUUACGGGUGGCGAGUGGCGGACGGGUGAGGAAUACAUCGGAUUCUACUUUUUCGUGGGGGAUAACGGAGGGAAACUUACGCUAAUACCGCAUACGACCUACGGGUGAAAUCAGGGGAUCUUCGGACCUUGCGCGAUUGAAUGAGCCGAUGUCGGAUUAGCUAGUUGGCGGGGUAAAGGCCCACCAAGGCGACGAUCCGUAGCUGGUCUGAGAGGAUGAUCAGCCACACUGGAACUGAGACACGGUCCAGACUCCUACGGGAGGCAGCAGUGGGGAAUAUUGGACAAUGGGCGCAAGCCUGAUCCAGCCAUACCGCGUGGGUGAAGAAGGCCUUCGGGUUGUAAAGCCCUUUUGUUGGGAAAGAAAAGCAGCAGGUUAAUACGCCGCUGUUCUGACGGUACCCAAAGAAUAAGCACCGGCUAACUUCGUG
This 492-nucleotide ribosomal RNA is filed under the name uncultured bacterium. Its description in RNAcentral is "partial 16S ribosomal RNA". It matches the Rfam family "Bacterial small subunit ribosomal RNA", at positions 29 to 507 of the family's 1533-position model. The record is from RNAcentral.